CCUACGGGUGGCAGCAGUGGGGAAUAUUGGGCAAUGGGCGCAAGCCUGACCCAGCAACGCCGCGUGAAGGAAGAAGGCUUUCGGGUUGUAAACUUCUUUUGUCAGGGACGAAGGAAGUGACGGUACCUGACGAAUAAGUCACGGCUAACUACGUGCCAGCAGCCGCGGUAAUAAGUAGGUGGCAAGCGUUAUCCGGCUUUAUUGGGUGGAAAGGGCGUGUGGGGGGGAAUGCAAGUCAGAUGUGAAAACUAUGGGGUUAAACCAUAGCCUGCAUUUGAUACUGUAAUGCUUGAGUGCUGGAGAGGCAAUCGGAAGUCCGUGUGUAGCGGUGAAAUGCGUAGAUAUACGGAGGAACACCAGUGGCGAAGGCGGAUUGCUGGACAGUAACUGACGCUGAGGCGCGAAAGCGUGGGGAGCAAACAGGAUUAGAUACCCUUGUAGUC
Molecule: ribosomal RNA, 443 nt
Filed under: uncultured bacterium
Lineage: Bacteria
Description: partial 16S ribosomal RNA
Rfam family: Bacterial small subunit ribosomal RNA
Source: RNAcentral